AGAGUUUGAUCAUGGCUCAGAUUGAACGCUGGCGGCAUGCUUUACACAUGCAAGUCGAGCGGCAGCGCGGGGGCAACUCUGGCGGCGAGCGGCGGACGGGUGAGUAAAGCAUCGGAACGUAUCCCGUAGUGGGGGACAACCCAGCGGAAGCUGGGCUAAUACCGCAUAUGCUCUACGGAGGAAAGCAGGGGACCUGAAAGGGCCUUGUGCUAUGGGAGCGGCCGAUGUCCGAUUAGCUAGUUGGUGGGGUAAAGGCUUACCAAGGCGACGAUCGGUAGCUGGUCUGAGAGGAUGAUCAGCCACACUGGGACUGAGACACGGCCCAGACUCCUACGGGAGGCAGCAGUGGGGAAUUUUGGACAAUGGGGGCAACCCUGAUCCAGCCAUGCCGCGUGCGGGAAGAAGGCCUUCGGGUUGUAAACCGCUUUUGGUCGGGAAGAAAGGGUCACCGUUAAUACCCGGUGAUUGUUGACGGUACCGGCAGAAUAAGCACCGGCUAACUACGUGCCAGCAGCCGCGGUAAUACGUAGGGUGCGAGCGUUAAUCGGAAUUACUGGGCGUAAAGCGUGCGCAGGCGGUUCGUUGUGUCUGAUGUGAAAGCCCCGGGCUCAACCUGGGAAUGGCAUUGGAAACUGGCGAGCUAGAGUGUGGCAGAGGGGGGUGGAAUUCCGCGUGUAGCAGUGAAAUGCGUAGAGAUGCGGAGGAACACCGAUGGCGAAGGCAGCCCCCUGGGCUGACACUGACGCUCAGGCACGAAAGCGUGGGGAGCAAACAGGAUUAGAUACCCUAGUAGUCC
This 796-nucleotide ribosomal RNA is filed under the name uncultured bacterium. RNAcentral's name for it is "bacterial SSU rRNA". It matches the Rfam family "Bacterial small subunit ribosomal RNA", at positions 8 to 796 of the family's 1533-position model. The record is from RNAcentral.